ACAGAGGGUGCAAGCGUUAAUCGGAUUUACUGGGCGUAAAGCGUGCGUAGGCGGUUAUUUAAGUCGGAUGUGAAAGCCCUGGGCUCAACCUGGGAACUGCAUUCGAUACUGGGUAACUAGAGAUCGGUAGAGGGCGGCGGAAUUCCGGGUGUAGCGGUGAAAUGCGUAGAUAUCCGGAGGAACACCGAUGGCGAAGGCAACCGCCUGGGCCUGAUCUGACGCUGAGGCACGAAAGCGUGGGGAGCAAACAGG
Molecule: ribosomal RNA, 252 nt
Filed under: uncultured bacterium
Lineage: Bacteria
Description: partial 16S ribosomal RNA
Rfam family: Bacterial small subunit ribosomal RNA
Source: RNAcentral